This 250-nucleotide ribosomal RNA is filed under the name uncultured bacterium. RNAcentral describes it as "partial 16S ribosomal RNA". It matches the Rfam family "Bacterial small subunit ribosomal RNA", at positions 524 to 776 of the family's 1533-position model. The record is from RNAcentral.
UACGAAGGGGCUAGCGUUGCUCGGAAUCACUGGGCGUAAAGCGCACGUAGGCGGACUCUUAAGUCGGUGGUGAAAUCCUGGAGCUCAACUCCAGAACUGCCUUCGAUACUGAGAGUCUCGAGUCCGGGAGAGGUGAGUGGAACUGCGAGUGUAGAGGUGAAAUUCGUAGAUAUUCGCAAGAACACCAGUGGCGAAGGCGGCUCACUGGCCCGGUACUGACGCUGAGGUGCGAAGCGUGGGAGCAAACAGG